UCCUAGCCCCGAUUGCAACGGCAUCCUUUUGCGAAGCAAAAGAUAUAGUGGAAAGCGGGAAAAAGC
RNAcentral lists this small RNA (66 nucleotides) under Chryseobacterium geocarposphaerae. Its description in RNAcentral is "Flavo-1 RNA". It matches the Rfam family "Flavo-1 RNA". Lineage: Bacteria; Pseudomonadati; Bacteroidota; Flavobacteriia; Flavobacteriales; Weeksellaceae. The record is from RNAcentral.